UACGAAGGGGACUAGCGUUGUUCGGAAUCACUGGGCGUAAAGCGCACGUAGGCGGAUGUGUCAGUCAGGGGUGAAAUCCCGGGGCUCAACCUCGGAACUGCCUUUGAUACAGCACGUCUCGAGUCCGGAAGAGGUGGGUGGAAUUCCUAGUGUAGAGGUGAAAUUCGUAGAUAUUAGGAAGAACACCGGUGGCGAAGGCGGCUCACUGGCUCAUUACUGACGCUCAGGCGCGAUAGCGUGGGGAUCAAACAGG
RNAcentral lists this ribosomal RNA (253 nucleotides) under uncultured bacterium. RNAcentral describes it as "partial 16S ribosomal RNA". It matches the Rfam family "Bacterial small subunit ribosomal RNA", at positions 524 to 776 of the family's 1533-position model. The record is from RNAcentral.